UAAAACCCUACCACUCUACUACCAUCACACCUGCGCCUCCACAGUCCACACUCACCGCGCUCGCCCCCUCACAACGAAACCUAGAGAGUCCCGCGCGUGACAUGGCGGACGGCGCGGGCUCGGCGUCUGGUCUGGUGGAGAAGCUCGCGGAGCUUUCAACGGGCGGCGCCGGGCAGAAUCCUCCGCCGGCGGGUGAAGGCGGAGAGGAGCUGCAGCUCUCGAAGAACGCGAAGAAGAGAGAGGAGAAGAGGAAGAAGCUGGAAGAGGAGCGGAGGCUCAAGGAGGAAGAGAAAAAGAACAAGGCGGCGGCGGCUGCUGCUGCUAGUGGAAAGCCUCAGAAGGCAUCUGCUGCUGACGAUGAUGACAUGGAUCCCACUCAAUACUACGAGAAUAGGCUCAAGACUCUUGAUUCACUCAAGGCCGCAGGUGUAAACCCCUAUCCACAUAAGUUUCCGGUUGGCAUCUCUGUAGUGGAAUACAUUGAGAAGUACAAGACCUUGAACAAUGGGGAGAAGCUUACAGAUGCGACAGAAUGUUUAGCUGGGAGGAUCAUGAACAAGAGAACAUCAUCAUCUAAGCUAUUCUUUUAUGAUCUUUAUGGUGGCGGCAUGAAGGUUCAAGUGAUGGCUGAUGCCAGGACCUCAGAGUUGGAUGAAGCAGAAUUCUCUAAGUACCACUCGAGUGUGAAGCGAGGUGAUAUUGUUGGCAUAUGUGGUUAUCCAGGAAAAAGCAACCGUGGGGAGCUUAGCCUGUUCCCGAAGAAAUUUGUCGUGCUCUCUCCAUGUCUUCAUAUGAUGCCUCGACAGAAAGGUGAAGGAAGUUCGGUGCCUGUAUCGUGGACUCCAGGAAUGGGUAGGAAUAUCGAAAAUUAUGUUUUGAGGGAUCAGGAAACUCGGUAUCGUCAGAGAUAUCUUGAUAUAAUGGUAAACCAUGAAGUGAGGCAUAUCUUCAAGACACGAUCUAAAGUUGUCUCAUUUAUCCGGAAGUUUCUUGAUGACCGCGAAUUUUUGGAGGUGGAGACUCCGAUGAUGAACAUGAUUGCUGGUGGAGCAGCUGCAAGGCCUUUUAUUACACACCACAAUGAAUUAAACAUGAGGCUUUUUAUGCGCAUUGCUCCUGAAUUAUAUCUGAAGGAAUUGGUUGUUGGUGGAUUGGACCGUGUUUAUGAAAUUGGAAAACAAUUCAGGAAUGAAGGAAUUGAUUUAACACACAAUCCUGAAUUCACAACUUGUGAGUUUUAUAUGGCUUAUGCCGAUUAUAAUGAUUUGAUGGAGCUUACUGAAACCAUGUUGUCAGGGAUGGUUAAGGAGCUGACAGGUGGCUAUAAGAUAAAAUAUCAUGCAAAUGGAGUUACGAACUCACCAAUAGAAAUUGAUUUCACACCUCCCUUCAGAAGGAUUGAUAUGAUUAAAGAUUUGGAGGCUAUGGCCAAUCUCAAUAUACCAAAAGAUCUAGCAAGUGAUGAAGCGAAUCGUUACUUGAUAGAAGCAUGUGCUAAGUAUGAUGUGAAAUGUCCACCUCCCCAAACGACAUCACGGUUGCUUGACAAGUUAGUUGGGCAUUUCUUGGAGGAGACAUGUGUGAAUCCAACAUUUAUCAUCAAUCAUCCAGAGAUAAUGAGUCCAUUGGCAAAGUGGCAUAGGUCUCGACCUGGAUUGACUGAGAGGUUUGAGCUAUUUGUUAACAAACAUGAGGUGUGCAAUGCAUACACAGAGUUAAACGAUCCUGUUGUGCAGAGACAACGGUUUGAGGAGCAACUAAAGGAUCGUCAAUCUGGUGAUGAUGAAGCUAUGGCCUUGGACGAAACAUUCUGUGCUGCCCUUGAGUAUGGUCUACCACCAACAGGUGGUUGGGGCUUGGGAAUUGAUCGCCUCACGAUGUUGCUUACAGAUUCUCAGAACAUUAAGGAAGUUCUUCUAUUUCCGGCUAUGAAGCCUCAAGAGUAGCUAUCCGCAUAGCCAAAAGCAACAAAAUGGCCUCAGCCAAAGGCCACAAAAGGUUCAAAGCAAACAUAGGCGCUGGAGGGUAUAUCUUAGCUCUUGGAUCUGUAUUGAACGAUACAUCCUUUUGCCCCUGUGCUCGGGAGCUUUCCAUUUUUUUCAUUAUUUUUUGUAAACUACCGCGUAUUUGCUGGCAGCAGGUUAUUAACCAGAAACUGUAACGUCACAGAAAGUUCAGUUUAACUUCGAAUGGA
Zea mays is the source of this 2194-nucleotide RNA transcript. It is a transcript of the gene named lysyl-tRNA synthetase, with no coding region annotated. NCBI's taxonomy places the organism in Eukaryota, Viridiplantae, Streptophyta, Magnoliopsida, Poales, Poaceae. The record is from RefSeq and is marked validated. The transcript is spliced from 17 exons.